This 538-nucleotide ribosomal RNA is filed under the name uncultured Planococcus sp. Its description in RNAcentral is "bacterial SSU rRNA". It matches the Rfam family "Bacterial small subunit ribosomal RNA", at positions 96 to 621 of the family's 1533-position model. The record is from RNAcentral. Lineage: Bacteria; Bacillati; Bacillota; Bacilli; Caryophanales; Caryophanaceae.
CGGCGGACGGGUGAGUAACACGUGGGCAACCUGCCCUGCAGAUCCGGAUAACUCCGGGAAACCGGUGCUAAUACCGAAUAGUUUGCGGCCUCUCCUGAGGCUGCACGGAAGGACGGUUUCGGCUGUCACUACAGGAUGGGCCCGCGGCGCAUUAGCUAGUUGGUGGGGUAAUGGCCCACCAAGGCGACGAUGCGUAGCCGACCUGAGAGGGUGAUCGGCCACACUGGGACUGAGACACGGCCCAGACUCCUACGGGAGGCAGCAGUAGGGAAUCUUCCGCAAUGGACGCAAGUCUGACGGAGCAACGCCGCGUGAAUGACGAAGGUUUUCGGAUCGUAAAACUCUGUUGUGAGGGAAGAACACGUACCAGCUAACUACUGGUACCUUGACGGUACCUCACCAGAAAGCCACGGCUAACUACGUGCCAGCAGCCGCGGUAAUACGUAGGUGGCAAGCGUUGUCCGGAAUUAUUGGGCGUAAAGCGCGCGCAGGCGGUCCCUUAAGUCCGAUGUGAAAGCCCACGGCUCAACCGUGGAGG